CCGUAUCUUCAGGUCCCUGUUCGGGCACCAACUGCCGGAGACCAGCUCCGGAGUGUUCCUCACAGAAAGCUGAAGUUGGG
Echinops telfairi (small Madagascar hedgehog) is the source of this 80-nucleotide microRNA precursor. Lineage: Eukaryota; Metazoa; Chordata; Mammalia; Afrosoricida; Tenrecidae. The record is from Ensembl.